Molecule: non-coding RNA, 747 nt
Filed under: Pselaphinae sp. 7 EF-2015
Lineage: Eukaryota; Metazoa; Arthropoda; Insecta; Coleoptera; Staphylinidae
Source: RNAcentral
UUAAAGUUUUAUUUAAGCUUAAGAUAGUUAUUGUUUAAUUUUAUAAUAUAUAAAUAUAAGAAUUUUAAUAUAAAGUUAUAAUUAUAAAAAUUAAAAUAAAUAGGAAUAUUGAUUUAGAAAUUUAUAAUAAUAACAACAAAAAUUGUGCCAGCAGUUGCGGUUAUACAGUUGUUAUGAGUGAUUAAGAUUAAAUUUAUAAUAAUUAGUAAUUUUAUAGAAUAAAUAUUAUAUUAUUAAGUGAAAUUUUAAUAUAAUUUUUUUAGAAUGAUAUUUUUGAUUUAUUAAAAUAUAUAAAAAACUAGGAUUAGAUACCCUAUUAUAUUAAAGUAGAAAAGAAAAUUGGUUAGUAUUAGUUAUAUUCUUGAAAAUUAAAAUAUUUGGCGGUAUUAAAAUUUUUUAGAGGAACCUGUUUUGUAAUUGAUAUUCCACGAUUAAUUAUACUUAUUUUAAUAAAUUUAUAUAUCGUUGUAGUUGAAUUUUUUAUAAGAAUUUUAAUAUUCAAAAUUUUAAAUUAAAAAUUAAAUCAGAUCAAGAUGUAGUUUAUAAAUAUAGAAAAAAUGGGUUACAGUUAUAGAUAAUAAUAGUUUAAAUUUUGAAAAAUUUUAAUAAAAUGGAUUUAAGAGUAAUUUUAUUAAUUUAAUUAAAAUGAUUUUAUAAAUUUAAUAUGUACAUAUUGCCCGUCGCUUUCGUUUAAUAUGAAAUAAGUCGUAACAAAGUAGUUGUACUGGAAAGUGUAGCUAGAUUUAA